This 433-nucleotide ribosomal RNA is filed under the name uncultured bacterium. RNAcentral's name for it is "partial 16S ribosomal RNA". It matches the Rfam family "Bacterial small subunit ribosomal RNA", at positions 29 to 507 of the family's 1533-position model. The record is from RNAcentral.
AACGAACGCUGGCGGCAUGCCUAACACAUGCAAGUCGAACGAGACCUUCGGGUCUAGUGGCGCACGGGUGCGUAACGCGUGGGAAUCUGCCCUUCGGUUGGGAAUAACUGAGAGAAAUUACAGCUAAUACCUUAUAAUGUCUUCGGACCAAAGAUUUAUCGCCGAGGGAUGAGCCCGCGUAGGAUUAGGUAGUUGGUGGGGUAAUGGCCUACCAAGCCGACGAUCCUUAGCUGGUCUGAGAGGAUGAUCAGCCACACUGGGACUGAGACACGGCCCAGACUCCUACGGGAGGCAGCAGUGGGGAAUAUUGGACAAUGGGCGAAAGCCUGAUCCAGCAAUGCCGCGUGAGUGAUGAAGGCCUUAGGGUUGUAAAGCUCUUUUACCCGGGAUGAUAAUGACAGUACCGGGAGAAUAAGCUCCGGCUAACUCCGUG